This 480-nucleotide ribosomal RNA is filed under the name uncultured bacterium. Its description in RNAcentral is "partial 16S ribosomal RNA". It matches the Rfam family "Bacterial small subunit ribosomal RNA", at positions 36 to 507 of the family's 1533-position model. The record is from RNAcentral.
UCCUCCCUCUUCCUUCGCGCUUAACACAUGCAAGUCGAGCGAUGAAACUUUAACAGACCCCUUCGGGGAGAAGAUAAAGUGGAUUAGCGGCGGACGGGUGAGUAACACGUGAGUAACCUGCCUUAGACAUUGGGAUAGCCUCGGGAAACCGGGAUUAAUACCAAAUAAAAUCAUAAUGACACAUGUCAUCACGAUCAAAACUCCGGUGGUCUAAGAUGGACUCGCGUCCCAUUAGCUAGUUGGUAGAGUAAAAGCCUACCAAGGCGACGAUGGGUAGCCGGCCUGAGAGGGUGAAUGGCCACAUUGGAACUAAGAAACGGUCCAAACUCCUACGGGAGGCAGCAGUGGGGAAUAUUGCACAAUGGAGGGAAGUCUGAUGCAGCGACGCCGCGUGAACGAAGAAGGCGUUAGAGUCGUAAAGUUCUUUUAUAUGGGAAGAUAAUGACGUUACCCUAAGAAAAAGCCCCGGCUAACUACGUG